CCUACGGGAGGCAGCAGUGGGGAAUAUUGGACAAUGGGCGCAAGCCUGAUCCAGCCAUGCCGCGUGAGUGAUGAAGGCCUUAGGGUUGUAAAGCUCUUUUGUCCGGGACGAUAAUGACGGUACCGGAAGAAUAAGCCCCGGCUAACUUCGUGCCAGCAGCCGCGGUAAUACGAAGGGGGCUAGCGUUGCUCGGAAUUACUGGGCGUAAAGGGCGCGUAGGCGGCCAUUCAAGUCGGGGGUGAAAGCCUGUGGCUCAACCACAGAAUUGCCUUCGAUACUGUUUGGCUUGAGUAUGGUAGAGGUCAGUGGAACUGCGAGUGUAGAGGUGAAAUUCGUAGAUAUUCGCAAGAACACCAGUGGCGAAGGCGGCUGACUGGACCAUUACUGACGCUGAGGCGCGAAAGCGUGGGGAGCAAACAGGAUUAGAUACCCUGGUAGUCCACGACCGUAACGAUAGAUAGCUAGCGUGUUGGGGUUGGUCGUUGUCGACCGCGAGUAGCGCGAGACUAACCGUACGUUUAACGUACUACGUUCCGUCCGUCGGGGUAGGUACGGGUCCGGCGAAGAAGUUAAAACGUUAACGUAAAGUUAGAAGUUAGUUACGGCGUGAGACGUUGCCGACGGACGACGACGAGGGAGGAGG
This 643-nucleotide ribosomal RNA is filed under the name uncultured bacterium. RNAcentral's name for it is "bacterial SSU rRNA". The stretch from base 1 to 538 matches the Rfam family "Bacterial small subunit ribosomal RNA", at positions 338 to 873 of the family's 1533-position model. The record is from RNAcentral.